GAGCGCGGCCACGGAGGCGGGGAUCACCCGGUCCCGUUCCGAACCCGGCAGUUAAGCCCGCCAUCGCCCGACGUACUGCGGGGAAAGCCCGUGGGAGGCAGGGCCGCCGCGCUCG
Non-coding RNA from Slackia sp. CM382, 115 nucleotides. The record is from Rfam. NCBI's taxonomy places the organism in Bacteria, Bacillati, Actinomycetota, Coriobacteriia, Eggerthellales, Eggerthellaceae.